CAUCAAUCGAAUAGGGUUUACCCUUUCAACAGCCAAACCCUCCAAAAAUCCUCUUUUCAAAACAGUGAACCUCAGAAAUCCCGCUGAAAGAGAAAGGGGAGGAGAGCGCCACGAUGUCUGGCUUCUCUUCCUCAUCCUCUUCAUCUCCCUUCUCAUUGGAAUCCUCCGCUUCUUCAUUUGGAUCUGCAACCACUGGUGCCAGAUUCCAUUUCGGAUCUUCCCCUUCCCCAUCCUCUUCUGCAAACCCUAGCUCCUCAUCCUCUUCUUCCUCUUCCACCUCAUUAUCGUUUGCAUUCAACACCUCGUCAAGCUCUAACCCUAGCUCAGCUCCUCCCGUUUCUUCAUUUGGUUUCGGACUCUCUACCUCUUCAUCCUCCUCCGCUUCUUCUGCCUCUUUAUUGUUCUCCUUUGGUUCAUCUCCUGCUGCCACCAGUUCCGUCCCAUCCCUAUUUGGCUCUGCGUCUGGUUCCACCUCAUCGCCGUUUGGGCAAGCUGAUUCCUCUGCAAUUUCUGGUUCAAACAAUUUUGGGGCUGUUUCAUCCUCUACUACUUCUCCUUCACCCUUGUUUGGGACUGUUUCUUCUGCGGCUAGUUCUGCCUCGCCUCUGUUUGGUGCAGUGUCAACGGCGGCCUCAAGUGCCGGCUCGUCCUUGUUUGGGGGAACUACGUCUUUACCAUUGUUUGGAGCAACCUCGUCUCCCAUAUUUGGAACAACUUCAUCAGUAGCAAGUUCUGCUUCUACUUCGUCUGUGGCAAGUUCUUCGCCUCCGUUUGGUACAACUUCGUCUGUAGCGAGUUCUCCCUUACCCCUGUUUAGCACAACUUCGUCUGCGGCAAAUUCUACCCCAUCUUUGUUCGGAACAACUUCGCCUGCGGCAAGUUCUACCCCAUCUUUAUUCGCAACAACUUCGUCUGCGGCAAGUUCUACCCCAUCUUUGUUCCCAACAACUUCGUCUGCGGCCAGUUCUGGACCAUUCCCGUUUGGUACAUCCUCCUCCGCUGCAAGUUCAGGUUCAUUACUUUUUGGGACGUCUUCAUCCACUACAAAUUCUGGGCCGUCCCUGUUUGGGUCAUCUGGUGCUUCAGCUGCCACUACUACAUCUAACUUGUUUGCCUCGUCUACAUCAGCUUCAACUACUACAUUCUCGUCUAAUUUGUUCUCUUCAAUUUCCUCUUCGAAUUCAAGCUUCGCUUUGCCUUUCUCCACCGCUUCAUCAGGAUUUUCCUUACCAAAAACCACUCCAAGUUCAACACCAACUACUGCAUCUACAGCGGCUCCUUCGACACAAACUUCAUCAGCAAGCACUUCAGGCUUCUCAUUUGGGACACCGUCUUCUGCAUCUUCAGCAAGCGCUUCUACCAUUUCAUUUGGGACACCAUCUUCCGCAUCGUCUCAAUCUUCCUUCAGCUUUAGCAAUGCAGCUUCUUCAUCUGCCCCUACUGUCUCCACCACACUUGCUGCAAAACCAACAUCUCUAUCGCCAUUGUUUUCUACAGUCACGACCACAAGUGCUUUUACUCCAGCUGCUGGUAUUUCAGUGGCUUCUUCUUCUGCUACAGCUUCAACGCUU
RNAcentral lists this unclassified non-coding RNA (1571 nucleotides) under Hevea brasiliensis (rubber tree). The record is from RNAcentral. Lineage: Eukaryota; Viridiplantae; Streptophyta; Magnoliopsida; Malpighiales; Euphorbiaceae.